Molecule: ribosomal RNA, 101 nt
Filed under: Theropithecus gelada (gelada)
Lineage: Eukaryota; Metazoa; Chordata; Mammalia; Primates; Cercopithecidae
Source: RNAcentral
GGCUACGGCCAUACCACCCUGAACGCGCCCGAUCUCGUCUGAUCUCGGAAGCUAAGCAGGGUCGGGCCUGGUUAGUACUUGGAUGGGAGAGGCUGUGGGUU